UGGGGAAUUUUGGACAAUGGGCGAAAGCCUGAUCCAGCAAUGCCGCGUGUGUGAAGAAGGCCUUCGGGUUGUAAAGCACUUUUGUCCGGAAAGAAAUCCUUGGCUCUAAUACAGUCGGGGGAUGACGGUACCGGAAGAAUAAGCACCGGCUAACUACGUGCCAGCAGCCGCGGUAAUACGUAGGGUGCAAGCGUUAAUCGGAAGUUACUGGGCGUAAAGCGUGCGCAGGCGGUUUGCUAAAGACCGAUGUGAAAUCCCCGGGCUCAACCUGGGAACUGCAUUGGUGACUGGCAGGCUAGAGUAUGGCAGAGGGGGGUAGAAUUCCACGUGUAGCAGUGAAAAUGCGUAGAGAUGUGGAGGAAUACCGAUGGCGAAGGCAGCCCCCUGGGCCAAAUACUGACGCUCAUGCACGAAAAGCGUGGGGAGCAAAACAGGAUUAGAUACCCUGGUAGUCCACGCCCUAAAACGAUGUCAACUAGUUGUUGGGGGAUUCAUUUCCUUAGUAACGUAGCUAACGCGUGAAGUUGACCGCCUGGGGAGUACGGUCGCAAAGAUUAAAAACUCAAAUGGAAUUGACGGGGGUCAUAGCUGUUUCCU
RNAcentral lists this ribosomal RNA (597 nucleotides) under uncultured bacterium. RNAcentral's name for it is "partial 16S ribosomal RNA". It matches the Rfam family "Bacterial small subunit ribosomal RNA", at positions 355 to 938 of the family's 1533-position model. The record is from RNAcentral.